AUUGAACGCUGGCGGCAGGCUUAACACAUGCAAGUCGAGCGGGGUGAUGGUGCUUGCACUAUCACUUAGCGGCGGACGGGUGAGUAAUGCUUAGGAAUCUGCCUAUUAGUGGGGGACAACAUCUCGAAAGGGAUGCUAAUACCGCAUACGUCCUACGGGAGAAAGCAGGGGAUCACUUGUGACCUUGUGCUAAUAGAUGAGCCUAAGUCGGAUUAGCUAGUUGGUGGGGUAAAGGCCUACCAAGGGGACGAUCUGUAGCGGGUCUGAGAGGAUGAUCCGCCACACUGGGACUGAGACACGGCCCAGACUCCUACGGGAGGCAGCAGUGGGGAAUAUUGGACAAUGGGGGGAACCCUGAUCCAGCCAUGCCGCGUGUGUGAAGGAGGCCUUAUGGUUGUAAAGCACUUUAAGCGAGGAGGAGGCUCCUUUGGUUAAUACCCAAGAUGAGUGGACGUUACUCGCAGAAUAGGCACCGGCUAACUCUGUGCCAGCCGCCGCUGUAA
This 503-nucleotide ribosomal RNA is filed under the name uncultured bacterium. RNAcentral's name for it is "partial 16S ribosomal RNA". It matches the Rfam family "Bacterial small subunit ribosomal RNA", at positions 30 to 523 of the family's 1533-position model. The record is from RNAcentral.